Molecule: transfer RNA, 120 nt
Filed under: Bombus terrestris (buff-tailed bumblebee)
Lineage: Eukaryota; Metazoa; Arthropoda; Insecta; Hymenoptera; Apidae
Also listed under: 1 other name
Description: misc RNA ENSBTSG00005020549.1
Rfam family: tRNA
About the family: Transfer RNA (tRNA) molecules are approximately 80 nucleotides in length.
Source: RNAcentral
GUCAGGAUGGCCGAGCGGUCUAAGGCGCCAGACUCAAGGUUCUCACCUUCUCAGUUCAAAACUGAGUUCUGGGCGUUCUGGUCCUCUCUGAGGGCGUGGGUUCGAAUCCCACUUCUGACA